CAGCCCUUGACAUGGCACGGACGAUUUCCGGAGACGGAUCUCUUCACUUCGGCUGACCUGCACACAGGUGCUGCAUGGCUGUCGUCAGCUCGUGUCGUGAGAUGUUGGGUUAAGUCCCGCAACGAGCGCAACCCUCGCCCUUAGUUGCCAUCAUUUAGUUGGGCGCUCUAGGGGGACUGCCGGUGAUAAGCCGGAGGAAGGUGGGGAUGACGUCAAGUCUUCAUGGCCCUUACGGGCUGGGCUACACACGUGCUACAAUGGCGGUGACAGAGGGUUGCUACACAGCGAUGUGAUGCUAAUCCCUAAAAGCCGUCUCAGUUCGGAUUGCACUCUGCAACUCGGGUGCAUGAAGUCGGAAUUGCUAGUAAUCGCAGAUCAGC
This 380-nucleotide ribosomal RNA is filed under the name uncultured bacterium. RNAcentral's name for it is "bacterial SSU rRNA". It matches the Rfam family "Bacterial small subunit ribosomal RNA", at positions 975 to 1353 of the family's 1533-position model. The record is from RNAcentral.